Small nuclear RNA from Chrysolophus pictus (golden pheasant), 103 nucleotides. Lineage: Eukaryota; Metazoa; Chordata; Aves; Galliformes; Phasianidae. The record is from Ensembl.
AUGCUUUGGCAGUACAUAUACUAAAAUCAAACUGAUACAAAGAAAAUUAGCAUGGACCCUGCACAAGGAUGACAUGUAAGUUCAUGAAGUAUUCCAUUUUUUU